CAGUUAUACAGAAAAUGCAUGAGCUGGGACGUUGGCUGGAUGGACCCACUUCCGAUCAAAACAAUCGGUGAUUGGAUAUUUACACAUGUCACCGCCUACCAGAAGUCCAAAGUGGCCUGCAUGACUGGCGUCUGACCAAGAAAAAUCCUGGAUGUCGAUCUCUAAUUCAUUCCCUGAGUGAUAAUCGGAGAGAAGCGGAGAGAAAAUCUGAGAGAAAACUGUUGUUUUGGUAUAUUUCAUGUUCAUAUGGAUAUUA
Molecule: long non-coding RNA, 256 nt
Organism: Esox lucius (northern pike)
Lineage: Eukaryota; Metazoa; Chordata; Actinopteri; Esociformes; Esocidae
Exons: 3
Source: RefSeq, a predicted model, not a curated record